This 598-nucleotide ribosomal RNA is filed under the name uncultured bacterium. Its description in RNAcentral is "bacterial SSU rRNA". It matches the Rfam family "Bacterial small subunit ribosomal RNA", at positions 338 to 944 of the family's 1533-position model. The record is from RNAcentral.
CCUACGGGAGGCAGCAGUGGGGAAUAUUGGGCAAUGGAGGAAACUCUGACCCAGCGACGCCGCGUGCGGGAUGAAGGCCUUCGGGUUGUAAACCGCUUUCAGUAGGGAAGAAGCGAAAGUGACGGUACCUACAGAAGAAGCACCGGCUAACUAUGUGCCAGCAGCCGCGGUAAUACAUAGGGUGCAAGCGUUGUCCGGAAUUAUUGGGCGUAAAGAGCUCGUAGGUGGUUCGUCACGUCGGAUGUGAAAAUCUGGGGCUCAACCCCAGACCUGCAUUCGAUACGGGCGAUCUAGAGUGUGGUAGGGGAGACUGGAAUUCCUGGUGUAGCGGUGGAAUGCGCAGAUAUCAGGAGGAACACCAAUGGCGAAGGCAGGUCUCUGGGCCAUUACUGACACUGAGGAGCGAAAGCGUGGGGAGCGAACAGGAUUAGAUACCCUGGUAGUCCACGCCGUAAACGGUGGGCACUAGUUGUGGGAACCUUCCACGGUUUCUGCGACGCAGCUAACGCAUUAAGUGCCCCGCCUGGGGAGUACGAUCGCAAGAUUAAAACUCAAAGAGUAGUAGCGUGNGAGAGCGACGACGACGACGAGGAGGAGG